This 513-nucleotide ribosomal RNA is filed under the name uncultured bacterium. RNAcentral's name for it is "partial 16S ribosomal RNA". It matches the Rfam family "Bacterial small subunit ribosomal RNA", at positions 28 to 523 of the family's 1533-position model. The record is from RNAcentral.
GAUGAACGCUGGCUGCGUGCCUAAUACAUGCAAGUCGAGCGAACAGACGAGGAGCUUGCUCCUCUGACGUUAGCGGCGGACGGGUGAGUAACACGUGGAUAACCUACCUAUAAGACUGGGCUAACUUCGGGAAACCGGAGCUAAUACCGGAUAACAUGUUUAACCGCAUGGUUCAACAGUGAAAGAUCGGCUUGCUGGCACUUAUAGAUGGAUCCGCGCCGCAUUAGCUAGUUGUUAAGGUAACGGAUUACAAAGGCAACGAUGCGUAGCCGACCUGAAGGGGUGAUGGACCGCACUGGAACUGAGACACGGUUCAGGCUCAUACGGGAGGCAGCAGGAGGGAAUAUUCGGCAAUGGGAGAAAGCCUGACGGAGCAACGCCGCGUGAGUGAAGAAGGUCUUCGGAUCGUAAAACUCUGUUAUUAGGGAAGAACAAAUAUGUAAGUAACUAUGCACGUCUUGACGGUAGCUAAUCAGAAAGCCACGGCUAACUACGUGCCAGCAGCCGCCGUAA